This 49-nucleotide transfer RNA is filed under the name Escherichia coli. RNAcentral's name for it is "tRNA-Lys". It matches the Rfam family "tRNA", at positions 1 to 47 of the family's 71-position model. From Rfam's summary of the family: Transfer RNA (tRNA) molecules are approximately 80 nucleotides in length. RNAcentral also lists the same sequence under 20 other names. Lineage: Bacteria; Pseudomonadati; Pseudomonadota; Gammaproteobacteria; Enterobacterales; Enterobacteriaceae. The record is from RNAcentral.
GGGUCGUUAGCUCAGUUGGUAGAGCAGUUGACUUUUAAUCAAUUGGUCG